AGGUAUUAACCCGAAGACAGCAGGUGCCGUUAGGCAUAAGGUUAAAACGCCUGCCGAGGAAACGAUACAGACAGUCUUUUUGAUAUGUUUGUUUGAUCACCCCUGAGUCUUUGGACCCGGGGGUUUUCCUUUUGUU
This 136-nucleotide small RNA is filed under the name uncultured Oribacterium sp. RNAcentral's name for it is "Ribosomal protein L10 leader". It matches the Rfam family "Ribosomal protein L10 leader", at positions 19 to 136 of the family's 138-position model. From Rfam's summary of the family: This family is a putative r-protein leader autoregulatory structure found in B. subtilis and other low-GC Gram-positive bacteria. It is located in the 5' untranslated regions of mRNAs encoding ribosomal proteins L10 and L12 (rplJ-rplL). A Rho-independent transcription terminator structure that is probably involved in regulation is included at the 3' end. The record is from RNAcentral. Lineage: Bacteria; Bacillati; Bacillota; Clostridia; Lachnospirales; Lachnospiraceae.